Monodelphis domestica (gray short-tailed opossum) is the source of this 88-nucleotide small nucleolar RNA. Ensembl annotates it as small nucleolar RNA, C/D box 87. Its record names the gene SNORD87. The record is from Ensembl. NCBI's taxonomy places the organism in Eukaryota, Metazoa, Chordata, Mammalia, Didelphimorphia, Didelphidae.
ACUGGUACUAUGAUGACUUAAUUCUACCUUUUUGCCGUUUACCCAACUGAAUUUGACUUUGAUGUAAAUCUAAAGACUGAGUACCAGU